Molecule: ribosomal RNA, 252 nt
Filed under: uncultured bacterium
Lineage: Bacteria
Description: partial 16S ribosomal RNA
Rfam family: Bacterial small subunit ribosomal RNA
Source: RNAcentral
UACGGAGGAUGCGAGCGUUAUCCGGAUUUAUUGGGUUUAAAGGGUGCGUAGGCGGGAUGCCAAGUCAGCGGUAAAAAUGCGGCGCUCAACGCCGUCGAGCCGUUGAAACUGGCGUUCUUGAGUGGGCAAGAAGUAUGCGGAAUGCGUGGUGUAGCGGUGAAAUGCAUAGAUAUCACGCAGAACUCCGAUUGCGAAGGCAGCAUACCGGCGCCCUACUGACGCUGAGGCACGAAAGCGUGGGUAUCGAACAGG